AGCACUUGUAUCUGCUUUUAUCUAAUUUAUGGACUUCAGUCAAGUGCAAAAAUAAAUCCUCUUUUGCAACCCAGAAUUCAUUGUCCAGUAUAAGUUUCGAUGCAUGCAGAAGGAAUUGA
RNAcentral lists this small nucleolar RNA (119 nucleotides) under Octodon degus (degu). RNAcentral describes it as "Small nucleolar RNA SNORA40 (ENSODEG00000022459.1)". It matches the Rfam family "Small nucleolar RNA SNORA40". Rfam says of the family: The snoRNA ACA 40 belongs to the H/ACA family of snoRNAs and guides the pseudouridylation of 28S rRNA subunit at position U4565. Lineage: Eukaryota; Metazoa; Chordata; Mammalia; Rodentia; Octodontidae. The record is from Rfam by way of RNAcentral.